This is a long non-coding RNA of Mirounga angustirostris (Northern elephant seal), 1473 nucleotides long. RefSeq lists it as uncharacterized. The transcript is spliced from 6 exons. The record is from RefSeq and is a predicted model, not a curated record. Lineage: Eukaryota; Metazoa; Chordata; Mammalia; Carnivora; Phocidae.
GGCGGCGGAGGCGGAGGAGGCGGCCGGAAGACCGCGGCCUGGACAAAGGAGUAGGGCGGGAGCGGGGCCCGGGCAGUCGCGGAGGGCGGGGCGUGGGGCCCGGCCGGGCCUUCGCCGUGCCUCAGUUUCCUUUCCCGCCGAGGGAGGGAGGCGUUGGGGUGAGCACCAGUGCCCCGCACGGCCCCGGCGAGCUCUACUGUCCUCCCGCGAGGGAAGCCUGGAUGGGCCGUAGGGAACCGGGGGCUGGACUCCUUUUCGGCCUUACGUUCUACUUCCCCAGAGCCACACCCCGCCGUCCCUUUUGCCCAGGAUUGUCCCGGCAGCUCCUUCAGUCCCAGGAAUAUUUUCCAUAUAGCAUUCAGAAGAACAAUCCCUGUGGCUUUUCUACGUUAGGAUUUCUGCAUUGUUGUUGGCUGAUGUCAUAGGCUUUUCGCUCUACGGUGAUAACAGGAAAUACAGGGGAGAGAAGAACAAUUGAAUUGACACCACAAGAAAGCAUUGAAAAGCCCAGAACGUGGGAUACUCUACAGGACUGACCUGGUUUUUAUAAGUGAAGAUCUUGGAAAGAAAACCUGAAGAAGAGAAGUGAUUUAAGAGAUACUGAUUCAUCAGAUCCUGCCAUCCUAUCACGACUCGGUCCCCUUGCAGCGGCCACUGUCCCGCCGGCCCCAUCUGCCAGCGUUCUUCCAGCGGUGCAGGUAAGGAGGACUGUGCUCUGGGAGCAGCAACCUUGAGCCCGGAUCACCCCCUGCCCUCAGCUGACGGCUUCCUUGGGCGACUCUGCAGAACUCUGGCUCUCCUGCCUUUUCUGCCGCUGCUAUUCAUUUAUGGACCUCUCAUCUUUCUACACGGAUUCAAAAGACUCCCGUCUCACUGACCUUUUUUUGGAAUCCAGGAUAAAGAAGUAGCCACUGCAUGAAACUUGAUGGUCUCAGGGUGAAGGUUUGAACAUCGUGGGAACAUGCAAUGCCUCUGAAAACCUCAGCUCAGAAUCCGAGGAGGACUCCUGCAGGCCAGGGCACUGCUGCAUGAGAGGCCUCUAGCAGGUUCCAUCACUGCCUCUCAGGAUCGCUCUCAUCCUCUCAGGGAAGGUUAGGAAGAGUUAACAGAAGAACCAUAAGUGUACCAGACUGGGGAUGAGGCUCACCGGGACCAGGGACAGCUAAUGAUGAUACCAAAAUCACGAGGGAGCCGUGUUGAAUUCUCAGGACUUUGUGUAGAUUCAGAAGUACCUUAAGCGGGGCGCCUGGGUGGCUCAGUUGGUUAAGCGUCUGCCUUCGGCUCAGGUCAUGAUCCCAGGGUCCUGGGAUCGAGCCCCGCAUCGAGCCCCGCAUCGAGCCCCACAUCGAGCCCCGCAUCGAGCCUGGCAUCGGACUCCCUGCUCGGCGGGAGGCCUGCUUCUCCCUCUCCCUCUCCCACUCCCCCUGCUUGUGUUCCCUCUCUCGCUGUCUCUCUCUCUCUCUGUCAAAUAAA